UGGGAGCACAGCCCUAGCAACAAGGACUACCUCCUAGCAACGAGCAUGACACCCAGUGCAUGAAACACCUGACAACGAGCAUGACACCCAGUGCAUGAAACACCUGGCAACGAGCAUGACACCCAGUGCAUGAAACCCCUGACAACGAGAAGUACGAAAGAAAGCCAGCACAGCCAGGACACAAACCACACUGCCAAGAGCUGUGGAUGCUGGCGAUGCAGAUGCAGACAUCAUGCCCCAGGAUCCCCAGCAGGAAACAGACUUGCAGCAAACAUUCACACUCCACCUGCAAGCAAUUAAUAAUAACCAACCAACCACGCCGGCUGACAUAACUCCACCACCCCAAACAUCCCCCACCCCCAAUUGAGCCCAACACCACCCCAGCCACAAAUUGACCAAACGUUUUGGGACAGUUGGGCCACACAACAGGCACAAAACCAUGCAUGUCUGCGUACACACAGCCAAUAUCUGUCCAGUCUGCCCCAUCAUCUACCUAGACUCAGUAGAAACACAGGCAGACUGAAUGUGCAACUUGGCAGAGUGGCCAAUACUAUGGAGCAGAUGAGAGCAGACAACAGCCGACUUAUAGAUAGCUUUCAGCUCAUAAUGGAUGAGCAACACCGCCAUCAACAAGCCCUCUUUCAAAUCAUACAAAACAAUCAGCUAAUCACCGAAAGCCUGUCCCAAAUAAUCAAGCAAGCCUGAACAACCUGAGCCAAAACAUUAAUUUGUUGGCAUCACAGCAACAAGGAUCAAGCUCAGGGACAACCACACCUAGCCAGACCCCAGUUACCUCCCCAGUUCGAACAUCCAGCAGAACACGGUCCAAUGUUCCAUCCCAAACCUCUGUAGCCAGCAAACAACCCCCUAAGAAAUUAGCAACCCUGCAGCUGUAUAUACACUAUUCCCCACCAUAUGACAACAUUAUUGAAUUGUGGGACACACCCAAAAAGUGU
Long non-coding RNA from Pseudophryne corroboree (corroboree frog), 956 nucleotides. RefSeq lists it as uncharacterized. Lineage: Eukaryota; Metazoa; Chordata; Amphibia; Anura; Myobatrachidae. The record is from RefSeq and is a predicted model, not a curated record. The transcript is spliced from 3 exons.